Molecule: long non-coding RNA, 1469 nt
Organism: Pezoporus occidentalis (night parrot)
Lineage: Eukaryota; Metazoa; Chordata; Aves; Psittaciformes; Psittacidae
Exons: 4
Source: RefSeq, a predicted model, not a curated record
UCUGCACUGAGAGGUGUAAAGAUGCCCUUUUGCCGAGUGACCUCCUGGGAUGCUGGUCCCGAGGCUGUGGGCAGAGUUCAAUACCAAAGGCAGUGCCAGCCCCCAUAAUUGGGCACACUGAUAGUGCUUUUCCUGGAUUACCUUUGCACCCAUGUGACUAAGCUUUCCCAACAAAGCAUGCAAGCAAUUAAGGAGCUGAAGCCUCAUUAAACAAACAAGCCCACAAAAGGGCUUGUGACAGGUAGUGCUGGUGUCUCCAGCACAAUUACCCGAUAAACAUAAGGCUUUGGAAAAAUCCAGCUUGGAAAGGCCCCCAGGAAACAGUGGUGGAGACUGAUGCCUCCUCAGCUCCUGGACAGAGGGCAACUGAUGACCAGAGCUGCUAAUUGUUGCAGGAAGAGGAAGAGACAGGCAAUCAAUUACUUGUGUGGUGCCCAAGCCCCAUCAAAUGUUUUAGAUGCCCAGCACCCCGCAGUAACAGUCUCCUUACCAGAUGCAGAAGGGAAAAAAAACAAAGAAUAAAAAGAGAACAGGGAAAUUCUUGAGAUUCUUUCCAAUGGAAAAAAUGCCUCCACUUAUCACUCAGUGUCAACAGCGGCAGACACCUGUGUUUAAACACCCAGCCACAGUGGCAAGCCAAAAGCUUUGCAGAUGUGCACAGACACUUCACACCAGCCUGAGAUCAAGCUGAUGCAAUGAGACCAUCGGGCUGGUGAAAGUCUACACACAAGGCGUCUUACUUAAACCAUAAUUACCCUUGUGGUUACUUCCAUUGCUGCCACAGCAUUGUCCCUCUCAGAUGUCAAUCGCCACCUUCCCCCAGGGGACAUUUAUGUUUUCCAAGAGGUUGCAAAGCUUUGCUCACAGGCCAUGGAAGUGUGACAUAGCACAUAAACAUCCAUAAACCCUUCUGAUGCUGACACCAAGCAAGAUCAAAGCUUGCUGGUGACAGUUCAGCGUGGCACAAGGCAGGGUACUCUGCACAGUGCCUCACAUGCCCAAAGGGAGAUACGAGGUGUUUUCCCUGUCCUUGGAGUAAGUUGCAUUGGUAGCAACAUCUUUCAUCUCAAGCCAUGAUAAGAGAAGGGGUUAAUUCACCACUGACACCAAGUGCUGAAGUGUUUUAUCUGGAGUACCGGUCAGUAAUACACUUUAGACAGAGAGAUACUAUAUAAAAUGGAGAGGUGACCCAUGGAGGUCUGGAUAGGUGUAAUUAGCUCUGCUGUCACAUAGGAAUGAGCAUGUUUGUACAGAUUAUGUCCGAUUUCUAGCAACACCUGCUCAUUUGCUUUAACCAGAUUUCUCAAAGAGGGACUAAUUAGCACUUCCUUGGAAGCCCAGCAAUGGCUUUACCUCUUGAUCGGUAUUCCUUCUGCUGGAAGGCAAAUUAGUUACUAUACCAGGGAAAGCUGAUGGAAGCAGGAAACCAUCUUCAUGCCUAAAAUUAAAGGAAAAGGCAGAGCUCACUA